GAUGAACGCUGGCGGCGUGCCUAAUACAUGCAAGUCGAGCGAACGGACGAGAAGCUUGCUUUUCUGAUGUUAGCGGCGGACGGGUGAGUAACACGUGGAUAACCUACCUAUAAGACUGGGAUAACUUCGGGAAACCGGAGCUAAUACCGGAUAAUAUUUUGAACCGCAUGGUUCAAAAGUGAAAGACGGUCUUGCUGUCACUUAUAGAUGGAUCCGCGCUGCAUUAGCUAGUUGGUAAGGUAACGGCUUACCAAGGCAACGAUGCAUAGCCGACCUGAGAGGGUGAUCGGCCACACUAGAACUGAAGCACGGUCCAGACUCCUACGCGAGGCAGCAGACGGGAAUCUUCCGCAAUGGGCGAAAGCCUGACAGAGCAACGCCGCGUGAGAGAUGAAGGUCUUCGGAUCGUAAAGCUCUGUUAUUAGGGAAGAACAUAUGUGUAAGUAACUGUGCACAUCUUGACGGUACCUAAUCAGAAAGCCACGGCUAACUACGUG
RNAcentral lists this ribosomal RNA (497 nucleotides) under uncultured bacterium. RNAcentral describes it as "partial 16S ribosomal RNA". It matches the Rfam family "Bacterial small subunit ribosomal RNA", at positions 28 to 507 of the family's 1533-position model. The record is from RNAcentral.